RNAcentral lists this ribosomal RNA (530 nucleotides) under Yersinia enterocolitica. RNAcentral describes it as "partial 23S ribosomal RNA". It matches the Rfam family "Bacterial large subunit ribosomal RNA", at positions 208 to 780 of the family's 2925-position model. The record is from RNAcentral. Lineage: Bacteria; Pseudomonadati; Pseudomonadota; Gammaproteobacteria; Enterobacterales; Yersiniaceae.
ACCCCGAGGAAAAGAAAUCAACCGAGAUUCCCCCAGUAGCGGCGAGCGAACGGGGAGGAGCCCAGAACCUGAAUCAGCGUAUGUGUUAGUGGAAGCGUCUGGAAAGUCGCACGGUACAGGGUGAUAGUCCCGUACACAAAAAUGCAUAUGUUGUGAGUUCGAUGAGUAGGGCGGGACACGUGACAUCCUGUCUGAAUAUGGGGGGACCAUCCUCCAAGGCUAAAUACUCCUGACUGACCGAUAGUGAACCAGUACCGUGAGGGAAAGGCGAAAAGAACCCCGGCGAGGGGAGUGAAACAGAACCUGAAACCGUGUACGUACAAGCAGUGGGAGCACCUUCGUGGUGUGACUGCGUACCUUUUGUAUAAUGGGUCAGCGACUUAUAUUUUGUAGCAAGGUUAACCGAAUAGGGGAGCCGUAGGGAAACCGAGUCUUAACUGGGCGAAUAGUUGCAAGGUAUAGACCCGAAACCCGGUGAUCUAGCCAUGGGCAGGUUGAAGGUUGGGUAACACUAACUGGAGGACCGAACC